GACGAACCGUGCGAACGUUAUUCGGAAUCACUGGGCCUAAAGCGCGUGUAGGCGGCCCGGCACGUCUCUGGCUGAAAUCCCCCGGCUCAACCGGGGAAGUGGCCGGGAUACGACCGGGCUGGAGGGGGGUAGGGGGGACGGGAACUCCGGGUGGAGCGGUGAAAUGCGUUGAGAUCCGGAGGAACGCCCGCGGCGAAAGCGCGUCCCUGGACCCCGCCUGACGCUGAGACGCGAAAGCCAGGGGAGCGAACGGG
Molecule: ribosomal RNA, 254 nt
Filed under: uncultured bacterium
Lineage: Bacteria
Description: partial 16S ribosomal RNA
Rfam family: Bacterial small subunit ribosomal RNA
Source: RNAcentral